UGAACGCUGGCGGCAUGCUUUACACAUGCAAGUCGAACGGUAAACAGGCCUUCGGGCGCUGACGAGUGGCGAACGGGUGAGUAAUGCAUCGGAACGUGCCCAAUCGUGGGGGAUAACGUAGAGAAAAUUUACGCUAAUACCGCAUGAGAUCUAAGGAUGAAAGCAGGGGAUCGCAAGACCUUGCGCGAUUGGAGCGGCUGAUGUCAGAUUAGGUAGUUGGUAGGGGUAAAGGCCUACCAAGCCGACGAUCUGUAGCUGGUUUGAGAGAAACGACCAGCCACACUGGGACUGAGACACGGCCCAGACUCCUACGGGAGGCAGCAGUGGGGAAUUUUGGACAAUGGGCGCAAGCCUGAUCCAGCAAUGCCGCGUGCAGG
Molecule: ribosomal RNA, 377 nt
Filed under: uncultured bacterium
Lineage: Bacteria
Description: bacterial SSU rRNA
Rfam family: Bacterial small subunit ribosomal RNA
Source: RNAcentral